UCGGGAAUAUUGCGCAAUGGAGGAAACUCUGACGCAGUGACGCCGCGUAUAGGAAGAAGGUUUUCGGAUUGUAAACUAUUGUCGUUAGGGAAGAAAAAAGACAGUACCUAAGGAGGAAGCUCCGGCUAACUACGUGCCAGCAGCCGCGGUAAUACGUAGGGAGCAAGCGUUAUCCGGAUUUAUUGGGUGUAAAGGGUGCGUAGACGGGCGAUCAAGUUAGUUGUGAAAUCCCUCGGCUCAACUGAGGAACUGCAACUAAAACUGGUUGUCUUGAGUGCAGGAGAGGUAAGUGGAAUUCCUAGUGUAGCGGUGAAAAUGCGUAGAUAUUAGGAGGAACACCAGUGGCGAAGACGACUUACUGGACUGUAACUGACGUUGAGGCUCGAAAAGCGUGGGCAGCAAAACAGGAUUAGAUACC
This 418-nucleotide ribosomal RNA is filed under the name uncultured bacterium. RNAcentral describes it as "bacterial SSU rRNA". It matches the Rfam family "Bacterial small subunit ribosomal RNA", at positions 355 to 786 of the family's 1533-position model. The record is from RNAcentral.